RNAcentral lists this ribosomal RNA (116 nucleotides) under Escherichia coli. The record is from RNAcentral. RNAcentral also lists the same sequence under 1 other name. Lineage: Bacteria; Pseudomonadati; Pseudomonadota; Gammaproteobacteria; Enterobacterales; Enterobacteriaceae.
CCUGGCGGCAUUAGCGCGGUGGUCCCACCUGACCCCAUGCCGAACUCAGAAGUGAAACGCCGUAGCGCCGAUGGUAGUGUGGGGUCUCCCCAUGCGAGAGUAGGGAACUGCCAGAC